Molecule: non-coding RNA, 8366 nt
Organism: Callithrix jacchus (white-tufted-ear marmoset)
Lineage: Eukaryota; Metazoa; Chordata; Mammalia; Primates; Cebidae
Source: RefSeq, a predicted model, not a curated record
GUUAUUAUUAUCAAUAUUAUUUGACGUAAGAUAAAAAUAAAAAUAAGCACUGCUUAAUUACAUUAACAUUUUAGUAAUAUUUGAUAAAUAAGUACCCUCUUUUAGCAAACAUGCUCUAUUAUUUAGAUUUUAGAUUUUUUUAAAAAAUAAAAACAGGAUCUGGUUAUGUUGCCCAGACUGACCUCGAACUCACUGGUUUAAGCAAUCCUCCCACCUUUCCCUCCCAAAAUGUUGGGAUUAUAGGUGUGAGCCACCACACCUACAAUUGCCUUGAUUUUUGAAUAGGGCAAAAUAAUUGUGAGGCUUAGGGAUUCAAGAAAUUUGGCAUACACACAUUUUCUGUUUCUCUCUUUCUGCUCUUAACAUCAGAAUAAUGACAAGUUAAAGUGAAAACUCUUUGCUCCUGUAAAGUGCUUAUUCUGAAUAUAGUUUGAGGUGAGUUUCUGUUAGUGAUAUUUGGAGUGAUUUUAAUAUGUGCAUUCUAAGUUACAUAGCAUUCAAGGCAUUCAUUAAAACAAAAUAAAAACCAACAAAGGAACAGCAUGAUGGCAUGUGGUAUGUUAGCUAUAGGAUUGUUUAGAAAAAACUGUUUAUCGCUUAUUAUUAAUAGUUCAUAUCUCAUAGAAUAUUACUGCAGAACUGAAGAUUAAGAAAUGUUACUGAGGAUGCCAGAUCCAAAGAUCUCCGUGUUGGAAAAUUAUCUCCAAUGCGUAACUGUUUCCCUGGCGUAUUUAGAUGGCCAUCCUUCUUUGAUGUCUCUUUUAAAAUCUACAUUUCAUUUUUUGGGAGCCUCUGUGUGAUGGAAAGUUUUUUUUUGUUUGUUUGUUUGUUUUUUUGAGAUAGAGUCUUGCUCUGUUGCCCAGGCUGGAGUGCAGUGGUGUGAUCUCGGCUCACUGCAACCUCUGCCUCCCUGGUUCAAUUCUCCUGCCUUAGCCUCCCAAGUAGCUGGAAUUACAGGUGUGUGCCACCACACCCGGCUAAUUUUUGUAUUUUUAGUAGAGACAGGGUUUCACCAUGUUGGCCAGGCUGGUCUCAAACUCCUAACCUCGAGUGAUCCACCUGCCUCGGCCUCCCAAAAUGCUGGGAUCACAGGCGUGAGCCACUGUGCCCAGCCAAUGGAAAGUUUUUAUCCAAGAUGAAAAAGCAGCUAAACUAAAUAGGACUUAGUCACUGCCUUCUUGCUAUUAUUAGCAGUACUACUGCUAUUACUUGGUAUGUACACUAUUAGUAGUAAUAGAGUGGUUACGGUAGACCUUAAAUUUACGGAGGAUGUUACUGUAUAGAAAAGAUUUUCACAUACAUUUUAUAAUUCUUCACAAAAACUUUGUGAGAAAGUAAGGCUACCUUGCUUUCAAAGUAAGCUAACUAUAAUAUAAUUGAUGAUUAUUAGUCUUCCAGAAGAAGGCCAUGACCUACCAUUAAGUAAACUUAAUGUCAAUUUAUCUGAUAAGAAAAAGUAGAACCUUUUUCUAAUGAUAGAUUUCAGGUCCUACUCUUAAAAGGGAGUCUUGGAGGAUUUCCCAGAUCUUUCUGGGAUAAAAUUAGUUUUUUUUUAAAAAAACAGUUUCAUUUUCCAGAACUUAACCGAUACAGAAGGAUGUAGCACCAGAAAACAUUAUACAAUAAGGCUUGCCCAGCACAGAGAUUUUUUACACUAGGUGACUAGUUAUAUUAAGUGCUAAAGUGAAAUUCUCUGUUAGUUCUCUAUACCUGUUCUUUGAAUUCAACUCACAUUUUUCAAUGCUUAAAAUCCAUGAAUAACUUUUAGAACCUAAGCAUGUUUAUAGGCCAUUGUUGUGUUUCUAUAAACAAAUACCUGAGUCUGGGUAAUUUAUAAAGAAAAGAGGUUUAAUUGGCUCGUGGUUCUGCAGGCUGUACCAGUGUGGCACCAGCAUUUGCUUCUGGGUGAGUGCUUCAGGAAAUUUAUAUAAGGGAAUAAAGUGAAGUAGGAACAGGGACAUCACAUGGUGAGAGUAGGAGCAAGUGAGAGAGAGGCAGGGGGUGCCACACACAGACUUAAACAACCAGAUCUCACGUGAACUUAGAGUGAGAACUUAUUUAUCACCAAAGAGAUGGUGCUAAACCACUCAUGAGAAAUCUGCCCCCAUGAUUCAAUCAUCUCCCACCAGGUUUUACCUCCAACAUUGGGAAACACAUUCAACGUGAGAUUUGGGAGUGGACAAACAUCCGAACCACAUCACCAGGUAAAAAGGGCUGUACAAUAACAUUAAGAACAUUGGGGUUUCAUGACUUCAGAAAUUUUAAGAAUUUCUUGCCUAGGAAGGACAAUGUAUAAGCAACAGAUUUAAUUGCCUUUGAGACAUGCUUUUGGUGAGAACUCUUAGGAAGGUCUCUGCCUUUCCUUAUGUGCCUGGUGUGCUGUAACAGAGGUCCAAAGACAGCAAGUCAUGGUGCUUGUGACAUGCACUGUCCAGCGAGGGACAUGGCACAAUGCCAUCACGAGUGUAUUACACAAGAUGCCGUUACAAUGUGGAAGGGGAGUGACCAACUCCACAGGGUUGAAAAGGAAGGGGUUCCCAAAGGAUCCUGAAUAGGAAGCAUUUCAGGUAGGUCUUGGCAGAAGUUGGUCAGAUGGGGAAGAGGGAGGUAAGAGCAGCACAUGGAGCAGCCUGAAACAUAGCUGUCACAUUUGAGAGCAGGGAGCAGCUUGCUGUGUUUGGUAUAGGGUAUAUGUGAAUCUGUGUAUGUGAAUAUUGGGGAAGGGAUGGCAAAGAUGAAGCAGGGGAUACCUGAAAAGAGCUAAGAGCCCAUCCUAAGGAGUUUGGUCUUUGUCUAUGUUCUGCUUUGUAUGUGGUAAUUUACCUGAAAAUGCUUGAGAAAUUUAGUGUAAACUGUAUGAUGUAUUUAAAUGUAAGUUAACUUUUUUCUAUACUCUAGGUAGCAUCAACUUGCACUCUAGAUGUGGUUCAUUAGCAUUUGAAGAAUCCAAAUCAUGAAUCCACACUUCAAACUUGGUUACCUACACAUUUCAAAUAAUUUUGCAAGAGUCUAUUUUAAGGUUUGUUCAUUGGCAUAGUGGAUGUUAGAAAUAAGAUAGGUGGUUGACUAGAAAGGUUACACUUGCUUUAUGAACCUCAUCCAAGGAAGGUGGAGGAAUCCAGCAAGCAAUAAUGGCAGUAGCCUCCCAGGUGUGGAGCGCUAUUGGUUCUGAGUACUCUCCUCGGUGAGGUUGCUAUCAGUGGCCCAGCUAUUAUAGAAGGGUAGAUGGUUCUGCGAUCAGGCUUUUGGGUCUACUCAGAGUGAAUCUGUCAUGUGAGAUGUUUGACCUACCUCUAACUUUUAGUGGGGGCUAUGGCUAUUUAUGAAGAGAACCUGCCAAUUGCUGUGUUCAUCAAUUGCCUAAUUGUCUUAGAUCACUGUGUAACUGGUCAGUAGUGGAGACCACUAGAGCUUAUCUAUAUAAUGCCAGCAGACUGUCAAUAUUAUAUAAAGAUUACUUUGGGGAAAGGGAGCAUUGGUGAGCUGGAGAAUAAGACCCUGUUGAAUUAUAUUUUAACUAAGUCAAUGUAACCCUUCAACAACCUGCUUUUUGUCUACUUGCUUUUCUUCCUCUUCCCUCUAUGGAUUCUUAAGCUAUCCAGGUUAGGCCAGGUGCAGUGACUCACACCUGUAAUCCCAGAGCUUUGGGAGACCAAAGCAGGAGGAUCACUUGAGGUCAAGAGUUUGAGACCAGCAUGGGCAACAUGUUGAGACUCCAUCUUUACUAAAAAUAAAAAAAUCAACUGGGUGUGGUGGUGUGCACUUGUAAUCCUAGUUACACAGGAGGCUGAGGCAGAAGGAUUGCUUGAGCCCAGGAAUUUGAGGCUGCAGUAAGCUAUGAUGCUGCCAGUGCACUCCAGCCUGGGUGACAGAGUGAGACCCUGUUCCAAAAAACCCCCGCAAACAAAAAGUACCCAGAUUCUGGCAUUGCCAGAAUAUUUGGGUAGUAUAUCAAGAUAGGGUAGGGAUGGGCAGCAGGAUAUGGGAAUUUUGAAAAAGCUCCUUAAAUGUUUCUGAUAGGUUUACUCUUGCUUCUUCCAGGGUUAGAUAAUUUAGGUGUGGGAAGAAGAACAUUAGGGCUAGGGAGAAGAGGAUUGGAUUUGUGUGUGUGUGUGUGUGUGUGUGUGUGUGUGUAUCUCCUCAAUUUUUAUGGACUAUAAGCAACUUGUGGAGAUUGAAAAAUCAGCUCCUAAACUUUGAUUUAUUUACUUUUUGGAUAAAAACAUGAAUAAACUAUUGUUAACAAUGGUGUUUGAGAGGCCUUGGGAGGAGUAUAUUUUCAUGAUACUGAUCUACAUAAGCUUGGAGGACAUUUACAUUCCAACAAUUUCUUGAGCAAAAGGAACAAAGAAACCAAAGAAAUGGAAAAAGGUCUUAGCUAAAUUGGUACAGACUCUGUUCUUGUUAUAUUUACUAAAAGGAAAGAAAAAGGAAAAGAAAGAAGUUUAUUCUUUAUUUUUUUUCAAUUUUUUUUAUCGUGAUAAGACAUAUGUAACCUUAAUUUUACCAUCUUAACGAUUUUUCAAUAUACAGUUAUGUGUUAUUAAAAAAUGCACAACGAUCACCACCAUUCAUCUCUGUAGCUCUUUUCAUCUUGCAAAACAAACCUUAUACCUAUUAAACAAUAACUCUCCUUCUACUUUCCCCACAUGCUUAGCAACCACUAUUCCAUUUUCUGUCUCUCUGAUUUUACUACUUUAAAGUUUCACAUAAAUGGAAUCAUACAGUAUUUGUCUUUUUGUGACUGGCUUAUUUCAUUUAGCAAGGUUCAUCAAGGUUCCUCAAGGUUCAUCUAUGUCGUAGCUUGUGUCAGAAUUGCCUUCCUUUAGAAGGCUAUUAUUUGUAUAAUAUAUACCACAUUUUUCAAUAACAGUUUCUCCAUUGAUGGACACUUGGGUUGCUUCCACGUUUUAGCUGUUGUGAAUAAUGCUACUGUGAACAUGGGUGUAUAAAUAUUGAGACCUUGCUUUCCAUUCUUUUGCUAUAAACAUAAAAGAAAUGGAAUUGCUGGCUGAGCGUGGUAGCUCACGCCUAUAAUCCUAGCACUUUGGCAGGUGGGGCUGAGAUGCAGGGAUCAUGAGGUUAGGAGUUGGAGACCAGCCUGGCCAAAAUGGGGAAACCCAGUUUAUACUAAAAAUACAAAAAUUAGCUGAGUGUGGUGGUGUGUGCCUGUAAUCCCAGCUACUCGGGAGGCUGAGGCAGGAGAGCUACUUGAACCUGGGAGGCGGAGGUUGCAGUGAGCUGAGAUCAUGCCACUGCACUCCAGCCUGGACCACAGAACAAGACUUCAUCUCGGGGGAGAAAAAAAAAGGAAUGGAAUUGUUGAAUCCUGUGGCAAUCCAAUUUUUAAUUUUUUGAGGAACUACCAUACUGUUUUCCACUGCAGCUGAACCAGUUUACAUUCCUACCAGCAGUGCACAAGGGUUCCAACUUCUCCAUGUCCUAGCCAACACUUUUUAUUUUGCGAUCUUUGUUGUGUGUUUUUAAACUUUUAUUUUAGGUUGAGGAGUCCAUGUGCAAACUUGUUAUAUAGGUAAACUCAUAUCAUAGAGCUUUGUUGCACAGAUUAUUUUGUCAUCUAGGUGCUAAGGCUAGUACUCAAUAGUUAUUUUUUUCUGAUCCUCUCCCUCUUCUCACACUCCACCCUCAAGUAGGCCCCGGUGUCAAUUGUUCCCCUAUUUGUGUCCAUGAGUUCUCAUCACUUAGUUCCCACUGAUGAGAACAUGCAGUAUUUGGUUUUCUCUUCCUGCAUUAGUUUGCUAAGGAUAAUGUCCUCCAGCUCCCUUCAUGUUCCCGCAAAAGACAUGAUCUUGUUUUUUUUUUUUUUUUUUUGAGACAGAGUCUUGCUCUGUGGCCCAUGUUGGAGAGCAGUGGUAUGGUCUUGGCUCACUGCAACCUCCACUUUCCAGGUUCAAGCGAUUCUCCUGCCUCAGCCUCCUGCAUAGUUGGGACUAUAGGUACCCACCACCAUGCCCAAUUAAUUUUUGUAUUUUUAGUAGAGACAGGGUUUCACUGUGUUAGCCAGGAUGGUCUUGAUCUCCUGACCUUGUGAUCUACCCUCCUUGGUCUCCCAAAGUACUGGGAUUACAGGCGUGAGCCACUGCUCCUGGCUGAUCUGGUUCUUUUUUAAUGGCUGCAUAGUAUUCCAUGGUGUGUAUGUACCACAGUUUCUUUAUUCAAUCUCUCAUUGAUGGGCAUUGUAUGAGUCUGUUCUCACACUACUCUUAAGAACUACCUGAGACUGGGUAAUUUAUGAAGAAAAGAGGUUUAAUUGACUGAUAGUUCUGCAGUCUGUUCAGGAAGCAUGGCUAAGAGGCCUUAGGAAACUUACAAUCCUGACAGAAGGCAAGGGGGAAGCAAAGCACAUCUUACAUGGUAGCAGGAGAGACACAGCACAAAGGGAAAGGUGCUACACACUUUCAAACAACCAGAUCUCAUGAAAAUUCACUAUUAUGAGAACGGGAAGGGGGAAAUCUGCCCCCAUGAUCCACCAGUCCCCUCUUCCAACAUGUGGGGAUUACAAUUUGAGAUGAGAGCUGGGUGGGGACACAGCGCCAGACCAUAUCAAGUAUUAGGUUGAUUCCAUGUCUUUGCUAUUGUGAAUAGUGCUGCAAUGAACAUUUGUGUGCAUGUCUUUAGGGUACAAUGAUUUAUAUUCCCUUUACACUCAGUAAUGGGAUUGCUGGGUAAAAUGCUGGUUCUGUUUUUAGCUCUUUGAGGAAUCACCACUGCUUUCCACCAUGGUUGAACUAAUUUACACUCCCAACAGUGUGUAAACAUUCCCUUUUUUUCCUGCAACUUCACCAGCAUCUGUUAUUUUCUGAGUUUUUAAUAAUAGCCAUUCUGACUGGCAUGAGAUGGUAUCUGAUUGUGGUUUCGAUUUGCAUUUCUCUAAUCAGUGAUAUUGAGCUGUUUUUCAUAUGCUUGUUUUGGCCACUUGUAUGUCUUUUUAAAAGUGUCUGUUUAUGUCCUUUGCCCACUUUUUAAUGGGGUUAUGUGUAUGGAGGUUCAUCAUUAGUUACAUUUAGUCAAUAGAUUAUAUUUGUUGUAGAAUAUAAAAUGUAUUCAUUUAAAUUAUAAACUAUGUUCAUCAGAUUAAUUGCUGUAUAAAUUAUGUAGGUUCUUCUUACAUACGGAAGAACUUCAGAGUCCUGCGUUUAUUUUUUUUUUCCUUUGCUGACUGCAUGUCAGCAUCUAACUUUAAGUAUAUAAACCAAGGAGGGAGAGUGGGAGAGGAAUGAGGGAUGAAAAACUCCCUAUUAGGUACAAUGUACACUGUUUGGGUGAUGGGUACACUAAAGUCCCAGACUUCACCACUAUACAGUUCAUCCAUAGAACCAAAAACCACUUGUGACCUUAAAGCUGUGCAAUCUAUAGUGACUUUAUACAAUAUAUAGUGAGCAGAUGUCAAAUAUAUAGUCAAUGAGGGAGCCAGCGUAAUAAAGCAAGUUCAAAGGAAGAUGUGAGAAACCAAGAUGGAAAAAAGAACAUCAGAAUAAGAUUGCAGAUUAGCGGGAAGAAAACCCCAAACAAACAACAAAACAAAACUGGUUAAUUGUCCUAAGGGCAAUAAAACUGAAACCUUGCAGGUUAUCUUUUCAACUAUACAGAAAUUCUUGGUAAUUUAUCAAUGUUUUACAAGUUAACACCUGUAUUAUUUCCUAUUACAGCUAUAACAAAUUAUCCCAAACUUGGUGGCUUAAAACAACAUGAAUUUAUUAUCUUACCGUUCUGAAGGUCAGAAGUCCAAAAUGGGUAUCACUGGGCUAAAAUCAAGGUGUCAGCAGGGCUGCACUCUGCUUGGAGACUCUAGAUCUCCUGGCUCAUGGAUAUCUGAGUUGCACAGUGUAGGUUCUUCGGUACUUUUGUUGUCAUAGAGCACAUUCAUUGGCUCUUCCUUAAUCAAACAUAUCAGAGGAUUUGGAUACAGACAUACUGGGAAGAAGGCCAUGAGAUGACUCAGGCAGAGGUUGGGGUGAUGCAGCCACAAGGAGCGCCAGGAGCCGCCCAAAGAGGCAAGGAAGGAUUCUACCUGAGAACCCAUGGCCCUGCCAGCACCUUGACUUUGGACUUCUAGCCUCCAGAACUGCGAGAGAAUACACACCGAAGCCACUCAGCUUGUGAAAAUUUGUUGCGGCAACCCUAGGAAACUGACCACUGGAAAGGUGCUGGGUAGGUCACAGAAUUGAGGGCAGAGCUGAAGAACCAGGCACAGGAAGGAGGGCACUCCUGAGGAGCUCAGCAGCGGGAGCGUGUGGACUGUCUGUAGCCAUCCAGGCGACCUGCUACAGUGGCCUUUUCACCUUGUGUACCUUGCUCAAGAGCCUAUCUCAGGAGAGACUCUAACCCAGCUUAUCUCAUUCCUU